This is a long non-coding RNA of Megalobrama amblycephala (Wuchang bream), 280 nucleotides long. RefSeq lists it as uncharacterized. The record is from RefSeq and is a predicted model, not a curated record. The transcript has 3 exons. NCBI's taxonomy places the organism in Eukaryota, Metazoa, Chordata, Actinopteri, Cypriniformes, Xenocyprididae.
UGAGCAAACAUUGAGGCAGUGUAAUUUUAGAAAAAAAAAAUUCAGAAAAAAAUUGAAGUACGGGACACUGCUUACAUCUCACGGGACGAUUUUGUCAAUUAUAUUUACUCUUGAAAAUUCAUACAAUUUGUGUUCAUUUGUGAGGAUAAGCUUGAUGGAAAAAAUGUGUAAGAGUCAUUAGCUUUUGUUAGUCACAGACCAUAUUUUAUGCAAUAAUCCAAAAGCCAACGGGUAAUGCACUGAUCUGACAAAACCCCAUGUGUCUGCAGCUGUUGGUCGA